UAGGAAACGGAGGCAGAGAAGAGUCGCGAGACUUGAUUCGACCACACUUUCCAGGCUCCGCCCCUCCUUCCUGGCCCUCCCUCUGGCCCAGCUUCCCCGGUUGCACGUGUAAUUGUGUACUUGUUGUGGUUCAACCUCACGUGGCCACGGUAUUGCCGGCGUUACAUGCCCCGCCUUCAAGAUGGCGGCGCCCAGCGCAGCGGCCCACGACCUGAGUCGGCUCAGCUUUGAAUUAUAACCUUGACUGAGUCUAUGUGGCCAUGGACCGGCCUGGGUUCACAGCCUCGCUGGUGGCUGGUGGGGUAGCAGGUGUCUGUGUUGACUUGAUAUUAUUUCCUCUGGAUACCAUUAAAACCAGGCUGCAGAGCCCCCAAGGAUUUAAUAAGGCUGGUGGUUUUCGUGGAAUAUAUGCUGGCGUUCCUUCUGCUGCUAUUGGAUCCUUUCCUAAUGCUGCUGCCUUUUUCAUCACCUAUGAAUAUGUGAAAUGGUUUUUGCACACUGAUUCAUCUUCGUAUUUGAUGCCUGUGAAGCAUAUGUUGGCUGCCUCUGCUGGAGAAGUGGUUGCUUGCCUGAUUCGAGUUCCUUCUGAAGUAGUUAAGCAGAGGGCACAGGUAUCUGCUUCUUCAGGAACAUUUCACAUUUUCUCUAACAUCUUAUGUCAAGAGGGCAUCCAAGGAUUAUAUCGAGGCUACAAAAGCACUGUUUUAAGAGAGAUUCCUUUCUCAUUGGUCCAGUUUCCCCUGUGGGAGUCCUUAAAAGCCCUCUGGUCCUGGAGGCAGGAUCAUGUGGUGGAUUCUUGGCAGUCAGCAGUCUGUGGAGCAUUUGCAGGUGGAUUUGCAGCUGCAGUCACCACACCUCUGGAUGUGGCAAAAACCAGAAUCAUGUUGGCCAAGGCCGGCUCCAGCCCUGCAAGUGGGAACGUCCUCUCUGCCCUGCAUGGUGUCUGGCGGACACGGGGGCUGUCAGGAUUAUUUGCAGGUGUCUUCCCUCGCAUGGCAGCCAUCAGUCUGGGAGGUUUCAUCUUUCUUGGUGCUUAUGACCAGACUCGCAGCUUUCUGUUGGAACUUGGCAGAGAGAGUCCAUGAAUCACAGACGGCCCCUGCCUUCAAGAAAGGGUCCUGCUGUGAGAACUGUUUCCCCUCCGGUGAGCAGCUGUUUGGCCAUCUAAACAACAAAACGCGGCGCUCAAGUCCAGUUCUGCUCAGAUUACGACAUGGAGAACGCAUCUUCCGUGCUGCAGGCUGGCCGGGAUGACGUCAUCUGCCUGGUUUCCAGAGUUCAGAGAGAAAAUGAUGUCCACAGCGAGGAGUGUCCAGCGGCCCAUGUGGUGUUUGAGAGAGAAACCAGUCACAGCCCAAUGACUAGGUGGGCCCAGCAGGCUUCGCGGCAGGAGGGCCGUCACUGACCGGGCUCCUCUCCACUCCAGACCCAAAGCAAAGGGCUGGGGCCGACUUUGGAAAUGGGGUGGGUUCAUCAUUCCUAAUCACUAAGGUUUGUUGCUUGGAGUUUUAAGCUCAACACUAGAAAUCAAAGAGAUGAAGUGGGAAGGUCACCAUUUUGGAGCUCAACUAAUAAGCUUCAGGUGUUAGAAAAAUUCAGACAGCAAUCUCAGGAAUCUAGUGGUGUCAUGUUUUCCCCAGAGCAACGGGUAUAUAUACCAUUCUGCUUUGACUAAAAAUGUUUUUCCCUUUUCAGGGGUGGGGUGGGGGGA
Molecule: non-coding RNA, 1711 nt
Organism: Delphinapterus leucas (beluga whale)
Lineage: Eukaryota; Metazoa; Chordata; Mammalia; Artiodactyla; Monodontidae
Source: RefSeq, a predicted model, not a curated record